GCGAAAAGAACCCCGGCGAGGGGAGUGAAAAAGAACCUGAAACCGUGUACGUACAAGCAGUGGGAGCCUCUUAAUGGGGUGACUGCGUACCUUUUGUAUAAUGGGUCAGCGACUUAUAUUCUGUAGCAAGGUUAACCGAAUAGGGGAGCCGAAGGGAAACCGAGUCUUAACUGGGCGUUAAGUUGCAGGGUAUAGACCCGAAACCCGGUGAUCUAGCCAUGGGCAGGUUGAAGGUUGGGUAACACUAACUGGAGGACCGAACCGACUAAUGUUGAAAAAUUAGCGGAUGACUUGUGGCUGGGGGUGAAAGGCCAAUCAAACCGGGAGAUAGCUGGUUCUCCCCGAAAGCUAUUUAGGUAGCGCCUCGUGAAUUCAUCUCCGGGGGUAGAGCACUGUUUCGGCAAGGGGGUCAUCCCGACUUACCAACCCGAUGCAAACUGCGAAUACCGGAGAAUGUUAUCACGGGAGACACACGGCGGGUGCUAACGUCCGUCGUGAAGAGGGAAACAACCCAGACCGCCAGCUAAGGUCCCAAAGUCAUGGUUAAGUGGGAAACGAUGUGGGAAGGCCCAGACAGCCAGGAUGUUGGCUUAGAAGCAGCCAUCAUUUAAAGAAAGCGUAAUAGCUCACUGGUCGAGUCGGCCUGCGCGGAAGAUGUAACGGGGCUAAACCAUGCACCGAAGCUGCGGCAGCGACACUAUGUGUUGUUGGGUA
Molecule: ribosomal RNA, 714 nt
Filed under: Escherichia coli
Lineage: Bacteria; Pseudomonadati; Pseudomonadota; Gammaproteobacteria; Enterobacterales; Enterobacteriaceae
Description: partial 23S ribosomal RNA
Rfam family: Bacterial large subunit ribosomal RNA
Source: RNAcentral